RNAcentral lists this ribosomal RNA (1230 nucleotides) under Bacillus licheniformis. RNAcentral's name for it is "bacterial SSU rRNA". It matches the Rfam family "Bacterial small subunit ribosomal RNA", at positions 8 to 1222 of the family's 1533-position model. Lineage: Bacteria; Bacillati; Bacillota; Bacilli; Caryophanales; Bacillaceae. The record is from RNAcentral.
AGAGUUUGAUCCUGGCUCAGGACGAACGCUGGCGGCGUGCCUAAUACAUGCAAGUCGAGCGGACCGACGGGAGCUUGCUCCCUUAGGUCAGCGGCGGACGGGUGAGUAACACGUGGGUAACCUGCCUGUAAGACUGGGAUAACUCCGGGAAACCGGGGCUAAUACCGGAUGCUUGAUUGAACCGCAUGGUUCAAUCAUAAAAGGUGGCUUUUAGCUACCACUUACAGAUGGACCCGCGGCGCAUUAGCUAGUUGGUGAGGUAACGGCUCACCAAGGCGACGAUGCGUAGCCGACCUGAGAGGGUGAUCGGCCACACUGGGACUGAGACACGGCCCAGACUCCUACGGGAGGCAGCAGUAGGGAAUCUUCCGCAAUGGACGAAAGUCUGACGGAGCAACGCCGCGUGAGUGAUGAAGGUUUUCGGAUCGUAAAACUCUGUUGUUAGGGAAGAACAAGUACCGUUCGAAUAGGGCGGCACCUUGACGGUACCUAACCAGAAAGCCACGGCUAACUACGUGCCAGCAGCCGCGGUAAUACGUAGGUGGCAAGCGUUGUCCGGAAUUAUUGGGCGUAAAGCGCGCGCAGGCGGUUUCUUAAGUCUGAUGUGAAAGCCCCCGGCUCAACCGGGGAGGGUCAUUGGAAACUGGGGAACUUGAGUGCAGAAGAGGAGAGUGGAAUUCCACGUGUAGCGGUGAAAUGCGUAGAGAUGUGGAGGAACACCAGUGGCGAAGGCGACUCUCUGGUCUGUAACUGACGCUGAGGCGCGAAAGCGUGGGGAGCGAACAGGAUUAGAUACCCUGGUAGUCCACGCCGUAAACGAUGAGUGCUAAGUGUUAGAGGGUUUCCGCCCUUUAGUGCUGCAGCAAACGCAUUAAGCACUCCGCCUGGGAGUACGGUCGCAAGACUGAAACUCAAAGGAAUUGACGGGGGCCCGCACAAGCGGUGGAGCAUGUGGUUUAAUUCGAAGCAACGCGAAGAACCUUACCAGGUCUUGACAUCCUCUGACAACCCUAGAGAUAGGGCUUCCCCUUCGGGGGCAGAGUGACAGGUGGUGCAUGGUUGUCGUCAGCUCGUGUCGUGAGAUGUUGGGUUAAGUCCCGCAACGAGCGCAACCCUUGAUCUUAGUUGCCAGCAUUCAGUUGGGCACUCUAAGGUGACUGCCGGUGACAAACCGGAGGAAGGUGGGAUGACGUCAAAUCAUCAUGCCCCUUAUGACCUGGGCUACACACG